CGCUUACACAUGCAGUCGAGCGGUAACAGGGGGUGCUUGCACCCCGCUGACGAGCGGCGGACGGGUGAGUAAUGCAUAGGAAUCUGCCCAGUAGUGGGGGAUAGCCCGGGGAAACCCGGAUUAAUACCGCAUACGCCCUUUGGGAGAAAGCAGGGGAUCUUCGGACCUUGCGCUAUUGGAUGAGCCUAUGUCGGAUUAGCUAGUUGGUGGGGUAAAGGCCUACCAAGGCGACGAUCCGUAGCUGGUCUGAGAGGAUGAUCAGCCACAUCGGGACUGAGACACGGCCCGAACUCCUACGGGAGGCAGCAGUGGGGAAUAUUGGACAAUGGGGGCAACCCUGAUCCAGCCAUGCCGCGUGUGUGAAGAAGGCUUUCGGGUUGUAAAGCACUUUCAGUGAGGAGGAAAACCUUCUGGUUAAUACCCAUGAGGCUUGACGUUACUCACAGAAGAAGCACCGGCUAACUCCGUGCCAGCAGCCGCGGUAAUACGGAGGGUGCAAGCGUUAAUCGGAAUUACUGGGCGUAAAGCGCGCGUAGGUGGUUUGAUAAGCGAGAUGUGAAAGCCCCGGGCUUAACCUGGGAACGGCAUUUCGAACUGUCAGGCUAGAGUG
Molecule: ribosomal RNA, 610 nt
Filed under: Marinobacter sp.
Lineage: Bacteria; Pseudomonadati; Pseudomonadota; Gammaproteobacteria; Pseudomonadales; Marinobacteraceae
Description: bacterial SSU rRNA
Rfam family: Bacterial small subunit ribosomal RNA
Source: RNAcentral